AGUGGAUGGGGAGCAACCUAGUUGUGCGUGUGUAAAGGUAGUGCCAAGAAAAGCGAUGAUCAUGUUGAAAAUCAAUUCCCGGUACCCGAAACCGACACAGGUGGGCAAGUAGAGAAUACUAAGGGGCGCGAGGUAACUCUCUCCAAGGAACUCGGCAAAAUGACCCCGUAACUUAGGGAGAAGGGGUGCCACCGAGAGGUGGUCGCAGUGAAGAGGCCCAGGCGACUGUUUAGCAAAAACAUAGGUCUCUGCAAACUCGAAAGAGGAGGUAUAGGGGCUGACGCCUGCCCAGUGCCGGAAGGUUAAAGAAGUUGGUCAGUUUUAGGAUGAAGCUAGCGACUGAAGCCCCGGUGAACGGCGGCCGUAACUAUAACGGUCCUAAGGUAGCGAAAUUCCUUGUCGGGUAAGUUCCGACCCGCACGAAAGGCGUAACGAUCUGGGCGCUGUCUCGGAGAGAGGCUCGGCGAAAUAGGAUUGUCUGUGAAGAUACGGACUACCUGCAUUUGGACAGAAAGACCCUAUGAAGCUUUACUAUAGCUUGGAAUUGUGUUCGGGCUUCCUGUGCGCAGGAUAGGUGGGAGGCGUAGAAGGUAUUCUUGUGGGGAUACUGGAGCCAACGGUGAGAUACCACUCUCAGGAGGCUAGAAUUCUAACUUAAUUAAGGACAGUUUCAGGUGGGUAGUUUGACUGGGGCGGUCGCCUCCAAAAAGGUAACGGAGGCGUACAAAGGUUCCCUCAGACUGGUUGGAAAUCAGUCGAAGAGUGCAAAGGCAGAAGGGAGCUUGACUGCGAGAAGUACAGUUCGAGCAGGGUGGAAACACGGUCUUAGUGAUCCGACGGUGCUGUGUGGAAGGGCCGUCGUUCAACGGAUAAAAGUUACUCUAGGAUAACAGGCUGAUCUCCCCCAAGAGUUCACAUCGACGGGGAGGUUUGGCACCUCGAUGUCGGCUCAUCGCAACCUGGGGCGGAAGUACGUCCCAAGGGUUGGGCUGUUCGCCCAUUAAAGCGGUACGUGAGCUGGGUUCAGAACGUCGUGAGACAGUUCGGUCCAUAUCCGAUGUAGGCGUGAGAAUAUUGAGAGGAGCCUUCCUUAGUACGAGAGGACCGGGAAGGACGCACCGCUGGUGUACCUGUUAUGAUGCCAAUUGUAAACGCAGGGUAGCCAAGUGCGGAGAGGAUAACCGCUGAAAGCAUCUAAGUGGGAAGCCCACCUCAAGAUGAGUAUUCUGGUGUAAGGUCACGGGAAGACGACCCGUAAAUAGGCACGAGGUGGAAGUGCAGAGAUGUAUGAAGCCGAAGUGUACUAAUAGACCGUCGGC
Molecule: ribosomal RNA, 1319 nt
Filed under: metagenome
Description: bacterial LSU rRNA
Rfam family: Bacterial large subunit ribosomal RNA
Source: RNAcentral